Molecule: long non-coding RNA, 943 nt
Filed under: Nicotiana tabacum (common tobacco)
Lineage: Eukaryota; Viridiplantae; Streptophyta; Magnoliopsida; Solanales; Solanaceae
Description: long non-coding RNA (NTAB_LNC011591)
Source: RNAcentral
UGAAAUAAGCACGAGUAAGGUCCUUGUUUCCAUUCAGCUUCUCUGACUUUCAACUCUAGAUUAUUUGCGACCUCGUGCUUGCUCGUAAUGCAGUAAAACCUUGUGUUUGCAGUCAUUACUCAGGGGAAGGUUUCUGCAAAAUGGAAGAUUGACAAAUGGUGAAAGAACUGCUUCAAAUGCAGCGAGUGAGCUGGGCUUACUGAGGCAAAGACAUACUGUGUCUGAUUUAAGGUAAAAGUGGACCUAAAUUUUAAGCGUCGUUCUCUAGAAAUUUUUUGUUUUUAUUCCACCCGAAAGUAAUGAGCUAUUUCAGAUGCAGUAACUCACUUAUCUAGCAGGUUGGAGAGGCAGUGGGGGAACGUGCGCGGGGGGUGGGGGGGUGGGGAAGCUGUGUUGAAAUUUUUUAUUAAAUCCACAGGAGUAAUUAUUAUGUGAAAGCAGUUACAUAAAAUAAAAUGAACCACUUAACAAAUAAAACGUCUCAGCUCACUGGUUGAGCGCUUCUUCUCUCUAGCUUAACUGCUUAAGUCGGGAGUUCGAGUCUCAAUUUCGACCUGUAUUUUACUUAAUGUUUUGGACUUCAGUUUUUUUUAAAAUUAGUGCUCAGAAGUGAUUGAACCUCUGACCUAUUCAAAGGCGAGUGCGAACAAAAUCACUUAGCAUGUACAAAUGCCUCAUAUCAACAAAAGGGAAAGUGGUUCUACCUUGAUCUUUUUUUUUGAGCAAAACAUUAGCUCUCACAAAUGUAGCCCAUCAACUCUCUUUGUUAGAAAUGCCUCAUAUCAACCCCUGACCUGAUGGAUGUUUUUGCAUGUUUUGAGUUGCUCUUGCUCUGCGGUAAUAUUAUCUUAGUGUUCUCUUUUGUCAGCCAAAAGGUGCAUUUGUUCACAUAAAUAGUAUCUGUCAUCUCUUCUCGCCAGCAGUCGUACCUGACACAUGAAAU